UCUAUGAAAUAGCUCAGUCGGAAGAGCAGGAGUUUCUGAAUCUCAGGGUUGUGGGUUCGAGUCCCGCGUUGGGCAGAA
Molecule: non-coding RNA, 78 nt
Organism: Podarcis lilfordi (Lilford's wall lizard)
Lineage: Eukaryota; Metazoa; Chordata; Lepidosauria; Squamata; Lacertidae
Source: the annotation of a GenBank genome assembly